GCGCAGCAGGCGCGAAACUUCACACUGUGCGAAAGCACGAUGAGGGAAUCCCAAGUGCUUGCACGUAAGUGUAAGCUGUUUCUCUGUCUAAAACGCAGAGAGAGUAAGGGCUGGGUAAGACGGGUGCCAGCCGCCGCGGUAAUACCUGCAGCUCAAGUGGUGACCGUUAUUAUUGGGCCUAAAACGUCCGUAGCCGGUUUAAUAAAUGCCUGGGUAAAUUGUGUAGCUUAACUAUACGAAUUCCGGGUAGACUGUUAAACUUGAGACCGGGAGAAGUUAGAGGUACUCCUGGGGUAGAGGUGAAAUUCUGUAAUCCUAGGGGGACCACCAGUGGCGAAGGCGUCUAACUAGAACGGGUCUGACGGUGAGGGACGAAGCCCUGGGGCGCAAAC
RNAcentral lists this ribosomal RNA (392 nucleotides) under uncultured microorganism. Its description in RNAcentral is "bacterial SSU rRNA". It matches the Rfam family "Archaeal small subunit ribosomal RNA", at positions 330 to 724 of the family's 1478-position model. The record is from RNAcentral.